RNAcentral lists this unclassified non-coding RNA (1005 nucleotides) under Hevea brasiliensis (rubber tree). The record is from RNAcentral. Lineage: Eukaryota; Viridiplantae; Streptophyta; Magnoliopsida; Malpighiales; Euphorbiaceae.
GAAGAGUUAUGACUAAAAUGCCAAGUAUGACUUCCUUUUAUUUGCCUUCAUCUAAUAUUAUACAUAAAUACUUGUUAUAUUCUGUUCAGCUUUUAUAAGAAUCCACCUUCUGAAUCCAUGUGAAUGCGUGGAGGUGGUCUUCCUGUAGAGUGUAGUCAAUGCACGGGUAUGUGCUUGUUCAAUAUUCUAUUAGUGGACACUGGACCUGCCCAAAAGUCUUGAGAUCAAGCCUGGUUAAGAGCAACUUACUAAGGGAAUAGCCUGUGAAAAGUCAACAAUGAUCGCUUGCGUAUUGUUCCCUUUGUGACAGUGCGCCAGAUGAUGUUUUAGUAAAAAGAUAGUUGCUUAAAUCAUAUGCACUUAGAACAUAUCUCUUCACAUGUAUCCUGGAUAAUUGUUUUUUCCUAGCCAACGUGCGUGAGCUAGUGGUGGGUGUUUGCUAGAUCUGCCAUAAAAUUAGAAAGUUUACCUAUAAGUUUAUCAGAAUGCAUACUGCAUUGAAUUUCUUUGUGCACAUGACUUGGAGAAUUUGAUUCAUGUUCAGCCUUUGGGCCAAAAUUCAUGUGACUAUUCUUCUAUUAACUUGGUGACAAUUUAGGUGACUUCAUUUAGCUUCUUCCAAUGGAUUCCUGAUCCUUUUUAAGCUUCCAUUUCAUGAGUAGUCAUUGCUUCCAAAUAAAUAAAGAUAAACGAAAAGCAAGCACAGACAACUUGAUGCAGCAACCACCACUGAAGAAACUUGCGACAGAUGGUGCGACGAGUGUAAUGCAGGUGAACUCCACACAAGGGGCAAUAGGUGGAUACCCCAAGGCUGCUGCGGCUUCUAGCAUGGGUAUAUCAUUAAUGUCGCAUCAGUUGCCUACUGAAAACAUAUCAGGAAGCGACAGUGGUCUGGUGUUGAAAACGUCUACUAUGCUUGCACAGGCAUGAAGGAAGACACAGAUGCAGGACAUUUACUGGCGUCGCUAUGUGAACUUUUUAGUGAAAGUAUGUUUGCCUUCAUUC